CCCUCUUUUCUUUUAUAUAUAUAUAUAUAUAUAUACUAGUGAAGGGGUCCGCGCUUUGCAGCGGAUAAAAAUUAUAAUAGUAAUUAAUAAUAAAAAAAUAUUAAAUAUUCUCUUGUGUAUCUUACUUGAUAUAUCCACCAAAUGUCAUGGCGGAAAGGGAAAGUGGGCGCGCAUUAGUGAGAGAGAGGGAGCGAGUGAGGGAAGCAAAAGAUUAGAGAUAGAGAAUUGAUGAAUAGAUUGGAAAUAAAAAAUUAAAAGUCUGAUGGAGGGAAGGAAAAUGACCAUAAUGAAUAAUUGGAGAUAGAGAGGUUAGGAUUGUAAGAUGGUAGUGAGAUCAUUUAAGCAUACUAAUUGAAAGUUUGGUAGUGGAAUCGUUUGCAUUAAUUGAAAGUAUAGUGGAGGGAAUGAAAAGGGUCAUAAUGAAUAAUUGUAGAUAGAAACGGUAAAAUGGUAGAUGAUAGUGGGACCAUUUAAAUAUAUUAAUUGAAAGUUUUGUUAGUGGAACCAUUUAAAUACAUUAAUUGAAAGUUUUGUAAGUGGAACCGUUAAAAUGUACAUUGAAAGUUUAAUGAGGGGAAGAAGAAGAGUCACAUUCUAGUGAGGGUGAAGGAAAACUUGCCAUGUGGCAACAAACAUUGGGAAUUCAUAUAAGUUAAUAGAU
RNAcentral lists this long non-coding RNA (661 nucleotides) under Ananas comosus (pineapple). Its description in RNAcentral is "long non-coding RNA (ACOM_LNC029958)". The record is from RNAcentral. Lineage: Eukaryota; Viridiplantae; Streptophyta; Magnoliopsida; Poales; Bromeliaceae.